AUUGAACGCCGGCGGCAGGCUUAACACAUGCAAGUCGAGCGGGGUGAUGGUGCUUGCACUAUCACUUAGCGGCGGACGGGUGAGUAAUGCUUAGGAAUCUGCCUAUUAGUGGGGGACAACAUCUCGAAAGGGAUGCUAAUACCGCAUACGUCCUACGGGAGAAAGCAGGGGAUCACUUGUGACCUUGCGCUAAUAGAUGAGCCUAAGUCGGAUUAGCUAGUUGGUGGGGUAAAGGCCUACCAAGGCGACGAUCUGUAGCGGGUCUGAGAGGAUCGUCCGCCACACUGGGACUGAGACACGGCCCAGACUCCUACGGGAGGCAGCAGUGGGGAAUAUUGGACAAUGGGGGGAACCCUGAUCCAGCCAUGCCGCGUGUGUGAAGAAGGCCUUAUGGUUGUAAAGCACUUUAAGCGAGGAGGAGGCUCUUUUGGUUAAUACCCAAGAUGAGUGGACGUUACUCGCAGAAUAAGCACCGGCUAACUCUGUGCCAGCCGCCGCGGUAA
Molecule: ribosomal RNA, 503 nt
Filed under: uncultured bacterium
Lineage: Bacteria
Description: partial 16S ribosomal RNA
Rfam family: Bacterial small subunit ribosomal RNA
Source: RNAcentral